Molecule: small RNA, 78 nt
Filed under: Flavobacterium saccharophilum
Lineage: Bacteria; Pseudomonadati; Bacteroidota; Flavobacteriia; Flavobacteriales; Flavobacteriaceae
Description: Flavo-1 RNA
Rfam family: Flavo-1 RNA
Source: RNAcentral
CCCUAGCCCUGAUAGAAGUGGAAAUCCUUUUGCGCCGGGGUUCGGCGGAAAAGAUUGAAACGGAUAGCAGGAAUUUGC